Molecule: ribosomal RNA, 253 nt
Filed under: uncultured prokaryote
Description: partial 16S ribosomal RNA
Rfam family: Bacterial small subunit ribosomal RNA
Source: RNAcentral
ACAGAGGUCUCAACCGUUGUUCGGAUUCAUUGGGCGUAAAGGGUGCGUAGGCGGUCGCGCAAGUCGGAUGUGAAAUCUCGAGGCUCAACCUCGAAACUGCAUUCGAUACUGCGUGGCUAGAGUGCUGGAGGGGAGACUGGAAUUUACGGUGUAGCAGUGAAAUGCGUAGAUAUCGUAAGGAAGACCAGUGGCGAAGGCGAGUCUCUGGACAGCAACUGACGCUGAGGCACGAAAGCGUGGGGAGCAAACAGGA